RNAcentral lists this unclassified non-coding RNA (349 nucleotides) under soil metagenome. RNAcentral describes it as "partial contains 5.8S ribosomal RNA, internal transcribed spacer 2, and large subunit ribosomal RNA". The stretch from base 1 to 120 matches the Rfam family "5.8S ribosomal RNA", at positions 35 to 154 of the family's 154-position model. The record is from RNAcentral.
GAUGAAGAACGUAGCGAAAUGCGAUAAGUAAUGUGAAUUGCAGAUUUCAGUGAAUCAUCGAAUCUUUGAACGCACAUUGCGCCCGCUAGUAUUCUGGCGGGCAUGCCUGUUCGAGCGUCAUUGCUGCCCUCAAGCACGGCUUGUGUGUUGGGCCUCCGCCCCCCGGCUCCCGGGGGGCGGGCCCGAAAGGCAGCGGCGGCACCGCGUCCGGUCCUCGAGCGUAUGGGGCUUCGUCACCCGCUCCGUAGGCCCGGCCGGCGCCCGCCGGCGACCCCCCUCAAUCUUUCCAGGUUGACCUCGGAUCAGGUAGGGAUACCCGCUGAACUUAAGCAUAUCAAUAAGCGGAGGA